Molecule: ribosomal RNA, 274 nt
Filed under: uncultured bacterium
Lineage: Bacteria
Description: partial 16S ribosomal RNA
Rfam family: Bacterial small subunit ribosomal RNA
Source: RNAcentral
AUACGGAGGGUGCGAGCGUUACUCGGAGUCACUGGGCGUAAAGCGUCCGUAGGCGGUCGGGUAAGUCGGGUGUGAAAGCCCCGGGCUCAACCUGGGAAGUGCACCCGAUACUGCUCGACUCGAGUGCGGGAGAGGAUGGCGGAAUUCCCGGUGUAGCGGUGAAAUGCGUAGAGAUCUGGAGGAACACCAGUGGCGAAGGCGGCCAUCUGGCCCGCAACUGACGCUCAGGGACGAAAGCGUGGGGAGCAAACAGGAUUAGAAACCCCAGUAGUCC